GUCAUUGCUGAAUUCACACCAUGUUGUGUUUUUUUUCCCCUAGCCACAGAGAAGCCUCAGCUAUUUUUUGCACUUUGUCCAAAUCUGCAGCGGUAGAUAAUUUAACAAGUGGACAUGAUCUGCAGGAUGUCUCCGAUUUGUAGCUUCCAACAAAAUGUCACAGAAGAAUCAACGUGUUUACAGCAGGACUUGGACGGAGAGGGCCAAGGAUUUGUCCUAAUCUUGAUAAUCAUGACAGCUCCUAUCUGCAACUGGCCUAAACAUCGUCCUUAUCAGAAGUGAUGAAUUAAUAUUUGUCAAAUGUAACGUCAGUUUCCAGCGUAGGAGCUCUGAUCUACAUCACACUUGAAAGUACAGCUGUUUGCUCCCUGAAAUUCUUGGAAGGAAAACUGUGUUUCCUCAUGCCCACAGCAGGUGAUGUUAGGUGGAGCUUUAAGCUCUGUUGAACCUAAACUCAGCUUUAGAGUUAUCAGGCUUUAUCGUGCGGCCUUUCAAAGAAAAGCUUUUGUUUUAAACACCCCUGGAUUGCAGGAUCUCUUGUCUGAUUGUGAUCACCUCUGUCUCCGUAUCAUUUCACCCCAGCUCCGAGACUGACUUUGAGAUUUUGAUGCUGACAGACGUGUUGACAGCAGAUCAGGAUGGUGAGAUAAGCAGGGGCGAAGACGAGGACAGACGGGUGUGGUCCAGCCCAGAGUCUCUCUCUCUCUCUCUCUCUAAUUUCAUACCUGCAGACAGGUGGUUGGCAGGGCAGAACACGCACAUGAGACUGGAGGAGGCAGUCAGAGGGCAGGCGGGAAUAAGGAAGACCUUCAGAGCAGAUCAAAGGAGGUCACGCUGUUCUCCUUUCAAUUCAUCUCUCCCUCCUCUCCCCUCUUCCCCCCCGCUCCUCACCCAUUCCCUCCUCCACUGAUCUGAAAACGAUAAAUUUCAGGGAAGUGGUGUGGGAUUACCGGGGUGGGGCAUGUGAUGUGAUGUGUAACUAAGACCAGAACACAAGACUGGGUCUGGGUCACUGCAGCAUGAAAAAAAAACUCUGACGGACAUCGUCUGUUCCGCACACCAACAGGUGACCUUUGUUCGAAUCUCAAAAUACAAAAAUGUUUAGUUGGGACACAACAUUACGGAUGUUUACUUUUAGACAGAAAAUGUUUGUGGCUACUAAAGCAGUCUCUUGGGGGCCACCUGCUGGAGGCGCACUGCUGCAACCAAAGGGGGGAAAAAAACACCAAAAAACAAUAACAGAAUAAAACAAAAUACAAAUAAAUAGUUCUCUGCUCUGCCGGGGCUCCGUGUUGAAAAUAGAACUGAAUCAAACCCCUUCCCCUGUGUCUCAUUAGUUGAUUGACCUGGCCGUGACCCUGUCCUGUGCCGGGGACUAUCACCACACUGUAAUCUGAUCUGAUAUUAUAUUAUAUUUUACUGUUUUCUAUUGUUUUAACUGGUGCCAUUUUACUACUCAUACUGUGAGUGCAGUCAGAAUUUUGAAGUAUUUACACAAAAACCUUAACCUUGUUAUUUUAUUUCAUAUCUUUAUUAUUAUUUAUGGGGAUGGUCAUGUUGGGGGGAGGGGGCUGGCCUUUGGUUAUGUGUAAAAUUAGUGGCUUUUUUACAUCUGGUGGAGAGUCAUUUGUCUUCCACUCUGUUAGUUGUUCUUACGGAACCAACAUAUUUAUGAAAAUUUGUCUACUGAAAAUGUGGCACCAAAACAUUUCCCCUGAUCCACUGAUUUGUGGAUCUUGUUUUAGCAACUUUUUUUGAUUUGCAGCACUGUAGUUCCUCUUUAAAGUUUUCUCUCAGACAGAGACUCAUUGUGACAGCUGAUGUGAAGAGUCUGUCUGUUCUGGCUCAACACCAACGAAAACAGACGUGUGACAUAAUGUAUGUAUCCAGAGCUGGGGGAGACAGGAGGGGCUGAGGACUAGGCGGUGAGUCAUUUCUCCAGUCCAUACCUUUUCAUCACCAGACGAUGUCAGACUAAUAUGUCCGGCUCUUAUCUGGCUCGUAGUUUGUCAAAGAACAAAGUAUCUUUUGAUGUUCAGCUGAUGACGGUUUGAUCAGUUAUUAAACAUUCCAUCUCUGUUUUUAAUCAAAUAAAAACCAGAGGAAGACAAAGUCUUCUGAGACACUGGUUAUAAGGUGAUGAUUUUAAUAACACUGCAUCAUGUGGAGACACGUCUCCCGGGCGUGUCCAACGGCCUUGACGGGUUUUAUCACGAUAUCUCCAUCAAGUGUUCACUGCACUGUGUUUGACUUUUAUCAAAUGAGGUUUUUCAUCGAUAAAGUUUUAAUGUUUGGUUCACCUACAGCCUGACCUCACAUAUCCUCCAAGUAAACACAAUAACUUCUAUGACUGGGUGGUGCAUUCUGGUCCCAGAGACAGAACUGUUCAUUUUUAGAAACCUGUGUACCAGAUUUUUUAUUUUACGGCUUUAUGAUAUUUAAUUUAUGCGGACGCCUCUGCGCGGCCGUAACUCGCGUCCGUGGAGUCGUUACGGCCCUGUUGGACCAAGUGUAUUUAUGACUGCAGUUCCUUUACGUUUCUCUACUGUAAAGGUAUAAUGGCCAGAUGAGUGGUGGUGAAGCCCCCAGACCGUUAUUUACAGCGGUGUUGUACCUCAGAGACACGUAGCCCCCGUUAUGCGACAGAGGCAUGCGGGAAUUAAAUUACGCCUGAAAUUUAGUGAUCCUUCCGAAGAAUAGGUUCCCUUGUUGGAUUGGUUUACCUGCGUUUCAGUGCGAAUGUCCGUAAGAGUAAACGGCAGAAAAAAACAGGUCAAAAGGAGCAAGUGAAGAAUUCCAAAUGAAGUGUCGAGGUGCUGUGAGGCUGCAGUGUGUGGCUGACAUGUUGGCUCCUGUGUUCUGGGCCCAGAAAGAGCCUCAGUGUAGGUUUGGUUAAAGAGGGAACGGAUGAUGUCUAAUUACCUGUUGAGAUGUGGUUUGGACUGAAGCCGCUCUUGUGACAGUGUGUCUUUCUUUUUGAUGAGGAAAUUACAGUCUACUGCCAGGCUCAUAUUCCCUUGAUUUGCAUCAUGAGGUCCUCACCUGCUCCUGCUCCUCUGAAGUGUGUAAUACAGUGGGGGGAAGAAGAAGAAGAAAAAAUCCCCCCUCAUCAGCCCAAUGAGGACGGUUUAUUUUCACUGCCUGGAGGUCUUUGAACCUCACAUUCAGACGGGAGAAAUAUUUUGAUUGUGUUUGAUAAUAACACGCGGCGUUGUGAAAUGGAUCGCACAAGAAGACGUGCAGCCGUACCUGCUCAUUGCUCAGAUAAUCACGUUUUAUCAUCCGCCGAGUGUUUUCACAGAUCAGUUAUGCUGAUGUUUUUAGUAUUAAGGAGUAAGAGCAUGUGUCUGACCUCGGCCGCGUGUGUGUUUGGGGAGGUGGGGGUGAGGGAGAGAGGGCAGAUACAGGGCAGGGGAGAUUAUCAGGCCGCCCUUGAUAACUCACAGGUGGUUGAUCUCAGGGGCUUAGAGUCCGAUCACUGCCUUCUAGUCUGCACAUGCAGCUCGAAAAAAUAUGAAAAAAAAAAGUUUAAAAUAAAUAAUAAAAAAGUUUUAUUUUAGAUCAUCUGACUUGGAACUGUCCAGCCAGGUUUCUGUAGCAGAAACAUCUUCAACCUUUUGAAAUUUAACAGGACGAAAAGCUAAAAGUUAAGUCAUGAAAGUCAAAGAAAAAAGCAACAUCAAUAUCUUUUUACAACAGCUACAUAUAAUGUUACUAAAUCUUUCAAGAAAAACAUUGGUGAAUGUGAAUGAAAUAGUAAAAACAUAAAAGCUAUAAAAGUAGCAAAAACUAGUUGGAAAGUUUUUGAAUUUUUUUAUAUUACUAUACAAAGCAACUAAAUAUUUCAAAUCGAAUAUAUAUUGAUUAGCCUUAACAAAUAAAAACAAAAUCUCCCAAGGGAAAAAAAUGCCUAAAUCGUUAAAAGUGUUAACCGUUUAACAUAGCCAAAAGAAAAAAAAAGAAAAGUAAAUAAAACGUUUUUUUAUUUUUUUAAAGGGGAUUCACUCUUAAUUAUGUUGUAUCUGCUCAAUGCCAAUAAAGACAAUCAUCUUCUAUAUUAUAUGAGCGAAUGGAACCAAAAUUUCAAUACAUUUGACAAACAUGUCCCAAAGCCAGAAUGUCCCUGUAUGACUCAUUGGACCUGUGUUUUGGUCCUCACCCCAAAGGUUCCUAAGACACAGGUGUGUUACCAUAUUCAUGUCCAUGUAAUUCCUGUUUCUGAUGAGGUUCAGUUCAGAGGCAGAGCUCAGGUUCCAGUCUGAAUGUACAGCUUCAGUGUUUAGAAUAAAACAGUCUGUCAAUAGAAAACUGCUGCCUGUUCCUGUGGAGGGUUAGGGGUUAUUGAUGGAAGCUUUAUUGUUUAAGGGAUUGUGUCUAAAUGCCUAAGAAUCCCUGUUUGAUUUACAGUUUAACGGUCUGUUGCUCAACACAUAAAUUACACUAUUACAGAAGAAAAAGUGUGGAGAAAAAAAAAAGAUUUUAUUGCACAAACAAAAUAAGCACUUACCCUCAAUGUCUGUGCAGCACAUUCUUCAGUGACAACAAUUCAUCUUCGAUUUCACACCAUACUUUUCUCCUGUACGACCCCCAUAAAGUGCCUGGGUGAACUAAGACUCUCUGUGGUUGAUGCCGGUGAGAGCGGUGGGGGCCAGAGGGAGAGGGGUUGACAUUUAUGGAUGAGGUUUUCCACCAUCUCUACUAUCUGGUUUUAGGGGCCGUUACUAGCCGAGAGCCCCUCUGUGUGCAGCGGUAAAGGCCGAGUGUGGGGGACUCUGCUGACAGGGUCUGGGGUGGCUGCACUGUAUUCACGGAGGCUCUGUAAACUGCAGCUGUGAUGUGCACAUCCAUCACGGCCCGGCUGCAUGCUGGGCUUAGGGAUGGAGGUGCAUUUGUUAUGCUGACACGGCCAGGGGGGACAAGGGGAGGGGUGGAGAGAGAGGUCAGAAUCAGGGGAACGCUGGAGAGCAAGCUGGGGUCACGAUUAGGGUGUUGGGGUAGAGUGGACACUGUAUUUAAGAUAAGACGAUUAUAGUGAGGUUUAAGGAGGGACGGGGCUCCAUGGCAGCGAGUCUGGUAUCUGCGGAAAUCUCUCCAUUUUAUUUAAGGCUAGGCUUUAUUAACAGAGGAUUUAGGGAACAGGGGAUUUAGUAAAUGUUGCAGAAAAUUUUAGGAAUGCAAUUAACAAAAAAAAAAAAACACAGGGAUCGGGGCCAGGUCAUGGAACACUCCGUAAUAUAUAUCUAUAUCGAUAUACAGGAUAUAUAUAUAUAUAUAUAUAAUUGUUCUUACAAACUUUACUUUAGAUUAAAGAUCAUUUUACUUUUUACUUUGUGUAAGAUGUGCACUCAAUAUUAAUUUUUGUUCUUAAUUAAAUGACUGAAUAUUUUGUUAAAUACAUGUGGUAUAGUUGUAUGACAAUUGGAGUUUUAGUUUUUAGUACUAAACCGGGUGUAACAGCCGUUUAGACACAGACAAGAGAGGAGAAAAAAAAGAAAUGUCUUUAAUGUAUUGACAACGAUGUAAAAAUCAUUGUUUUGCUCGGCUGCUCCAGACUCCACCCUGUAAUCUGGGCAAACCUGGGUGUCUGAAGUUUGCACCAGGCUGGGAGGGUGGAGGAGGCGAACGGGUGAGAGGAGAGGGGGAUACUGACAUCAAAGCAUGGAGAUGAUGGAGGGGGAGGGAGAGAGAGGGAGAGAGAGAGUGAUUAUAGGUCAGGAGUCUGAAAAGACAACAGGUAUUUUUUAGACCUUAUCAUACUCUGGAACUCAGACUUGAUCUGUCUGAGUGAUAGCAAUCUAUGACUCAAGGAACGAGCCACGAUCCUUGGACUGACGGGAUGUCGACGUUCUCGUGGUUUAGUGCAGUGAUUCGUAGCCACAGCAAAUGAUCAGGUUUUAAAAAAUGGUCUGAUUUCACUUAACUGCUCUGAAAACUAUUUUUUGUUACUGCAAAUAAUGUGUCUUUGAUCGUCGAUGUGACAGAAAAAAGAAAGAGUUGAAGAUCUUAGCGCGUCUUUCUUCAAUUCCUGCAGCAUUGUGUUCAACUAAACAGGAGAAAAAUAAACACUUGACUGAAGGAUCUAAAUCACUUCACACCAAAUGUCCGCGGCUGAACAUCUGCUGUGUUUGGCAGCACCGACCUUCUCUCCUCUUUUUGUCUUUGCUCCUCCUCAGCAGUAUGAAAAGCUGUAACUCAUUGGUAACUUUCAAGGAAAUCUGACUUGGAGUAAGGACACAGAGGAGGUGAGUGGGUGUCUGAGUGUAGUGAGUGGGAGGAGGUUACAAACACACCAGCUCCUGCCCCGAGGAAACAACAGGCUUGGAUCAUCACAUAUUCCUCCAAACACAACAGCGUCUGGCUGAAACCUGUGGUUAUUAUGGAUCACAGCUCUGCUGAUUCAGAUAUGAUCUCAUGCUCCUCCGUCCUAAGUAGCUUCUCAAAUUCUUGCUUCUCUGGACACAACGCAGAGAAGAAUUAGGUGUGAGUCCAGUAAAAACAUCUCUAAAAGUGCCUUAAUGGACAUUUAUGAAAACACUUUCCUCAGAGUUAUAUUGUCUAAUGGUAGUCAGCUGUCCCGUUAAUGACUGCCUGACACAUUCUAAAUGUUAAAACGAAAAUUUCAUUAUAAUGUGGCACCAAGUCAGUUAUGAAAGUCAGCUCUAAAAACACACCAGAUAUGAGAAAGAGGAGAGAGAGCAUCCUGAAAGAAAAUGUCUUGUUGGCAAAAAGUUUGAAUGAUUACCAUUUGUAGCUAAUGUACAGUAUAUUCUGACUGUAUUAUACUGUAUUAUAGUCUAUGAUGCAGUUUGACCUUCAGAAUGUGCUGUGUUCAUCAUUGUGGUUCUGGGCCACCGCAUGUACGUUAAUUUGCUGUAAGACACUGGUAAAAUCAAGAACUGUACAGCAUGAGCAUGUCUUUCUUCAAUUCCUGCAGGUUUAUCAGCAUUGUGUUCAACUAAACAGACUGUCAACAAGGAAACUGGGAGUUAUCUGUAACCAGAAGAUCAUUAUAUUUUGCUUCAUAUACUGUUUGCUUCAUAUACAUUUUCGAGACAACUGUAGGUAUGACAAACUGUUAUAGCUCUGAGUGAUUUCUGUCACAGGCUGUAAUGUGUGUAUUUGUGGAGGAAUAGGAAAGUAAAAAUAUAUACUAUCAUUUAUUUGUGUGUGUGUCUCUAUAGCAGUUAAAAACAUGUUUCUUCCAUUGUUAUUACCACUAAUAAGGGAGUUUUUUAGAGUGCCAGAACAGAUUCAUUAAUUAAUUUUUUUUCUGUUACUUCUUAUGGGAAAAAAUGAUUUUAAAUACGAGUAUCUCAAGAUAUUACUGUAUUAGGAAUUUCCCAGCAUCACCUCUAUGUGUCGCCAAAGGCACAACAGCUGUAGAAACGUGCGUACGCUAGCUUUAGAACUGCUGUGACGCUACGUUUUUGUGCGUACGCAAGUUUCGUGCACGAGGACCUUGAACGUGAGAGUGGAAAUGGACGUACGCCAUGUUUUUGUGAUUACGCAACAUGGGGCCCAGGUGAGCAUCCCGACCCACUUCCACCGCAACUUCCUCGGCGAAAGCGUCUUCGACGCCGUAAAAGACUUAGCGCCUAUAUACGGAUAUACUUGGAACGAGCGUGGAUUUUGGCCUCGCGUCUCUGUUCACCGCCGCUCGCUGCACCCUGCCUGGCUGUCACCUGUCCUCGGCCCGCAUGAGCAGUUCCAGCCCCGCGGCCAGUGUUCCCCUCGUCCCUGCUGCCGUGGAGCGAAUCACUGUAACCUGCAACCCUUGUGUCGGGCUUCACUGACGGCUAACGCUGCGGACCCCCCGGGCUCCCACCAGCCGAGACAUGGGACUCACUUUUGGCUAAUGACUGCAGCUAUUUUAAUUCCCCGCGAAUGUCAGGUCGAGGAGGAGGAGCGACUGUUUUCAAGAGUCAUUAUAAAGUUUCCGCCACAUCAUGGACUUGAUGGCUGAUUGGCUGUGAUCAGACAACAUCAGGGGAUCGUCGCUGCAGGGUACGUAAGCUCUACCGUCUCUCUUAUUGCUGCGUGACUCGUUUGACAGACGCUUUACACUGUAGCAUAAGAUAAAAAAAAAAAAUCUACUGUGUAACUGUAAGUUCUGUUGCUGUACCAAAGUAGCCACUGGGAAAAAACGUGAUACUCAACAUAAACACGUGGCAUCUGAACGUGAUCCAAACACAACCGUUAGGAGGCGCAGUAUGUACAGUAUGUGACAAGUGAACACUGGCAGAAAAGGAGGAAUGACGGGAGGAUACAUCACAGAUCGAUGCUCUUCAGUCUGCUCUCAUCGAACUCGCUCUAACUGAACUAAUUCUACUCCGAAUGAACACAAACCUGGAAAGAGAACAGCGCGACAGCAUGCUAACGAGAUCCAGAAAUCACUGUUUACAGCAGGUCAAAAAACAGGCGUUUGUAGAAGAUACCUGACUGGGGUUUUAGGUACAUUAGUGUUGCCUGUUUGCAUAUUAGAGCUGGAACAUCUGAAGUCAAUUUAAAAAAUGUCCAAUCAACAGUUUGCACGUGUUGUCAGAGGUCCACUCGGCAGAGACCAACAAGAAAAUCGGAGUAAAAAACAAAAGAAAAGUGUUACUUAUUAAUCAAACAAACCCAGAGAGUUGCGUAGAAAUAUAAAAUGCAGCCACAGAGGCCAACAGGCUUGGACUCUGGGGGUUGGUAUCACAUCGACAUCAUCUGUGCUCCACAGGAAAUGAGCCGAUACCUGCGGUGGCUCGGACCGGCUCUCGCCGCGUUAGCAGCACCGUAGUCAUUUCAAGUGAAAUCAAGGUCGAUCAUGACGAGCACCUCAACGUGACCUGCAUCAAUGUCAGAUUACAUCGACAACAUUGGCUCCAGCAAUGCAUAAACACUGUUUAUCUUCAAAAAAAAAAAAA
Molecule: long non-coding RNA, 8903 nt
Organism: Cynoglossus semilaevis (tongue sole)
Lineage: Eukaryota; Metazoa; Chordata; Actinopteri; Pleuronectiformes; Cynoglossidae
Exons: 2
Source: RefSeq, a predicted model, not a curated record